AAAUCAAUCCCACUUUGGCGCAAAAGUUCGAUUGAAUCAUUUGCAAAAACAUCCUCGUUCACAUUGAAUUCCCGAAAAUUGAACUGCCAUAUGCAAUACUUGUCAGUUCCACAUGUGGGUAAAUUCCCUUGCUCAUCUGAAAACGUAAGACCCAAUUGAAUUAACUUCAACAAAUCGACAUUAUCCUUCAAGGUUUGAUAAUGAUA
RNAcentral lists this unclassified non-coding RNA (206 nucleotides) under Hevea brasiliensis (rubber tree). The record is from RNAcentral. Lineage: Eukaryota; Viridiplantae; Streptophyta; Magnoliopsida; Malpighiales; Euphorbiaceae.